This 460-nucleotide ribosomal RNA is filed under the name uncultured bacterium. RNAcentral's name for it is "partial 16S ribosomal RNA". It matches the Rfam family "Bacterial small subunit ribosomal RNA", at positions 338 to 795 of the family's 1533-position model. The record is from RNAcentral.
CCUACGGUGGGCAGCAGUGAGGAAUAUUGGUCAAUGGGCGCGAGCCUGAACCAGCCAAGUAGCGUGAAGGAUGACUGCCCUCCGGGUUGUAAACUUCUUUUAUAAAGGAAUAAAGUGAGGCACGUGUGCCUUUUUGUCUGUACUUUAUGAAUAAGAAUCGGCUAACUCCGUGACAGCAGCAGCGGUAAUACGUAGGAUCCGCGCGUUAUCCGGAUUUUUUGGGUUUAAAGGGAGAGUAGAUGGGUUGUUAAGUCAGUUGUGAAAGUUUGCGGCUCAACCGUAAAAUUGCAAUUGAUACUGGCAGCCUUGAGUACAGUUGAGGUAGGCGGAAUUCGUGGUGUAGCGGUGAAAUGCUUAGAUAUCACGAAGAACUCCGAUAGCGAAGGCAGCCUACGAAACUGCCACUGACAUUGAGGCUCGAAAGUGGGGGUAUCAAACAGGAUUAGAUACCCGUGUAGUC